GACGAACGCUGGCGGCGUGCCUAAUACAUGCAAGUCGAACGCACUCUCGUUUAGAUUGAAGGAGCUUGCUCCUGAUUGAUAAACAUUUGAGUGAGUGGCGGACGGAUGAGUAACACGUGGGUAACCUGCCCUAAAGUGGGGGAUAACAUUUGGAAACAGAUGCUAAUACCGCAUAAAAACCUAACACCGCAUGGUGUAGGGUUGAAAGAUGGUUUCGGCUAUCACUUUAGGAUGGACCCGCGGUGCAUUAGUUAGUUGGUGAGGUAAAGGCUCACCAAGACCGUGAUGCAUAGCCGACCUGAGGGGGUAAUCGGCCACACUGGGACUGAGACACGGCCCAGACUCCUACGGGAGGCAGCAGUAGGGAAUCUUCCACAAUGGACGAAAGUCUGAUGGAGCAACGCCGCGUGAGUGAAGAAGGUUUUCGGAUCGUAAAAACUCUGUUGUUUGGAGAAGAAAUGUAUCUGAUAGUAACUGAUCAGGUAGUGACGGUAUCCAACCAGAAAGCCACGG
This 513-nucleotide ribosomal RNA is filed under the name uncultured bacterium. RNAcentral describes it as "bacterial SSU rRNA". It matches the Rfam family "Bacterial small subunit ribosomal RNA", at positions 28 to 496 of the family's 1533-position model. The record is from RNAcentral.